Molecule: small nucleolar RNA, 132 nt
Organism: Bison bison bison
Lineage: Eukaryota; Metazoa; Chordata; Mammalia; Artiodactyla; Bovidae
Source: Ensembl
GCGUGGUUCUCUUUCUCAUCAGAUCUGAGCACUUGUCUUCGCGGUCAUAAAGGUCAUAAAGUAGUAGUAAUGAGACUCUCCUCACAGUGCUUGGAGUCUGCUGUAUGGCCUGUGGGCUUCUUGCAAACAAGG